This is a long non-coding RNA of Gopherus evgoodei (Goodes thornscrub tortoise), 1162 nucleotides long. RefSeq lists it as uncharacterized. The record is from RefSeq and is a predicted model, not a curated record. Lineage: Eukaryota; Metazoa; Chordata; Testudines; Testudinidae. The transcript is spliced from 3 exons.
CCGCUAGGGGGCGGGUUGGGCGCCAAAGGAAAGUGCGGGCGGAGCGGGGGGGUUCCGAGCGAAGCGGGACGGAGAUAGGGGUUGGGUGGGGAGGUGGCAGGAGAUGGCUGUAGGGGAGGGUUCCCCCAGGGGGCGCUAUGGGCUGGGAGUGGCUCCUUAGUAGCACCCCCUAUGGGAUGGCAGGUGGAUCCUAUGGGGGGUAAAAUGGAUGGGGGCUUGGCAGGGGAAUGGCUGUGUGGGAGGGUUCCCACAGGAGGCGUUAUGAGAUGGAGUUGUAGGGGGAUGGCACUAUGGGAGGGUUCCUGUGGGGGACACAAUGGGUGGGAGCUUGGCAAGGGGAUGGCUGUAUGGGAGGGUUCUUGUGGGGGGCACAAGGGCGGGGGCUGUAUGGGAGGGUUCCCAUAGGGGACACUAUGGGGCAGGGGAAUGGCUGUAUGGGAGGGUUCCUGUGGGGGACACAAUGGGUGGGAGCUUGGCAAGGGGAUGGCUGUAUGGGAGGGUUCUUGUGGGGGGGCACAAGGGCGGGGGCUGUAUGGGAGGGUUCCCAUAGGGGACACUAUGGGGCAGGGGAAUGGCUGUAUGGGAGGGCUCCCACAGGGGGAACUAAGGGGGGGGAUGUGGCAAUAAUAAGCAGGCAGGAGCACUCCUGGGUAUUAUAUCCUGUUAGAAGUAAACUGAAUGUUUGACAAAAAUGGGGCACAUUAAAGGCACUUGACUGCCUCAGUUACUACUAAAACCUAGCAGUGAACUGAAGAAUGUGACUAGAGUGCUAACAUUGGUUCCUGGGAGCAAAUGAUUUGCUGCAUCUUUCUUUUGGAUAGCUUCAAGCUGCAAGCUGGCUGUCGAACUCAGGCCAUCACCUGAUGAAUGAUGCGUUUGUUCUUUUUCUCUGGGCUGAAGGACAGGCAGAACUGGAUUAUUGACAUGGCUGUGCAGAGCAUUACUACUGGGGAUGUACACUGUUGUUGUUUUAACUAUUAUACAAAUAAUUCAUUCUAGUAACCAAGAUGAAAGGGAUUUAAGAGGGUAAAUCUUCAUUAAUGUGCACAGAGAGAUAAAUGCGAAACUCUAUUAUUGGGGACAUGGCUAGCCUGAAAGCCAUAUAUUGUAAACAAGUAUUUCUGUACCUAUUUAUGACUCUGUCACAGUCUGUGCAUCUUUU